Non-coding RNA from Pelodiscus sinensis (Chinese soft-shelled turtle), 2038 nucleotides. NCBI's taxonomy places the organism in Eukaryota, Metazoa, Chordata, Testudines, Trionychidae. The record is from RefSeq and is a predicted model, not a curated record.
UGCCCCAAAUGGCUUCUGCAAGAAUUGAAUUCACAACCCUGGGUUUAGCAGGCCAAUGUUCAAACCACUGAGCUAUCCCUCCCCCCAUGGCUAGCCUUGGAAGCUCCAUGCAAGACAGCAGCCAGCAAGGGAGCCAUGAGUGACCCCAACACUCCCUUAGAACUCCCCAUGGCUGCCAGCAUUUCUCCUGCUCCCUCAGCUGCCACUGGCCAGGGACACAGGAGAGCUCCGGCCUGGGCUGGUGCAGAGAUCUCGGACCUCAUUGAAGUCCAGGGGGAGGAGACCAACCUCCAGGAUCUCCACACCAGAAAGAGGAAUGUGGAGAUCUGGCUGGAUUGCCACCAGCCUGGCCGACAAAGGCCAAACCCAGACACUGGACCAAGUCCGCAUGAAAAUCAAAGAACUCUGGCAGAUCAACCACAAGGCCAGAGAGCAGAGCGGAUGCUCCAGGGCAGCACCACAGAGCUGCCACUAUUACGAACAGCCAUCCCGUAAGGGGAGCUGGUCACCUCCCCCCUGUCAUCAUGGAGUCCAGCCGGAACAUGCCUAGCGUCAGCCUCCAUGAGGGCAGAGUGGUGGUGAAUAAGGAGGAGGAGGCCAUCCAGGUGACCAUGCCUGCCAGCCAGGACCUGUGCCUGAUCCUGGAGCCAGUUCCUCCCUCCCAGAUGUCUCCCAGGCUUCAGAUGAACCCGGGGAAGGCACUUCAGAGACGCAGACAACGACUACACCUGAAUACAGAUUGAGAUGGAUCUGCGCUGGGCCCCAAGUUGUGCAAGGAAAUCAGCGAUGAUCCAUACCCUCCGGAUAUGCUAGAGUAGAUGUUCCCAGUGGAUUGUUACGGUGCGCUUCUUUGAGAGCUGAACUGAUGCAGUGGGCCAGCCAAUUGCUUGUGCAAACAUGCCCUCUUCUGUGUGCUGCAAAGGCAAAUUCUUUUAGACUUGCUAAUGAGUCUAAUGUAGCAUAUGGAACGAUUGCUUAGAGCCAAACCCAAACUUCUACUGAAGUCAGUGGAGGCCACAUUCAAGGACAGACUAUGCACACAGCCAAGUCUUCAUUCCUGGGCACAGGCCAAGCAACUGGACGGAGUGAUUUUGGUGGAUCAGCGAAGUGUAGUGAAUCUCGGUGGAGCACAGCACUAUGAUGGGCAAGGGGUGCAAACCCAAAGCAUAGUUUUGUAGGUAGGACUGGUAGCAAAUGAAGAAUCUUUUCUGCAAAGCAAAAAUCGUUGGUUUGUUUUUGUUAAAAAUGUUCAAACUUUAUUUUUGACUCUAUUAGAAAUGUAAUAGAAUGGCAUUGAAAUGACUUCCCCCUCCCAUUGUUCACUUGUUGGUUUCCCCUUUGGAGGAGGAGGGAAGAAAGGGAGAGACAAGGGAGAGACUAAAUGAAAAUGAAAAAUGUUGUUUUGGUUCAAAAUUGUUUUUGGGGGGACAAAGCAAAGUACACGUUUGAUUUUUUGUGUGGUAAGAUGUUUUCUUAUUCAAAAAAACACUUUUAUCAAACUUUUUGUUGACUUUUUUGACCAUCCUGCCCUUCUCCAUCUCCUAGAGCAUGCAGAACCAUUGCCGUUUUGUAGGAUGUUGGGCAGUUUGUUUUGCAGCCACAUAAAGGAUGUAGCGGAAGGGGCUGCAUUUAUCCUGUGUUUUCUAACCGUAAAAAUCAGACAUAGCUCUUUUGAUGUUCACAUUUGUUUCUCAGCUUACUCUUCCCUAGCUGCUGUCAGGGGGGAUUGUUACCAAUUGCUCUUUAUUGUUCUGAGCUGGGGACACAUGACUCUGUACUCAUCAUGGUUCAGCUUCCCCAGGGGCUGAGAGAAUUCUCUCUGCAGAUAACGCUGUGUAGGAGCUUACGUGGAAGGAUCUCUGUGCUGGAAAACACGUAAUGGUCUUUGCUAUGGACCUGAUGCUACAGUCAUUUCUACUCAGAAAUUCCAGGGAAAUGAAUAAGAGUUCUGCACUUAAGGAAUGCCAUCUUGGACCCCGUCUGCCUCUUGAGUGAGGCAGAAAAAUAGCAGCACAUGAACACGGGGGUCUAGGGAUUG